UGUUUCGGCAAGGGGGUCAUCCCGACUUACCAACCCGAUGCAAACUGCGAAUACCGGAGAAUGUUAUCACGGGAGACACACGGCGGGUGCUAACGUCCGUCGUGAAGAGGGAAACAACCCAGACCGCCAGCUAAGGUCCCAAAGUCAUGGUUAAGUGGGAAACGAUGUGGGAAGGCCCAGACAGCCAGGAUGUUGGCUUAGAAGCAGCCAUCAUUUAAAGAAAGCGUAAUAGCUCACUGGUCGAGUCGGCCUGCGCGGAAGAUGUAACGGGGCUAAACCAUGCACCGAAGCUGCGGCAGCGACGCUUAUGCGUUGUUGGGUAGGGGAGCGUUCUGUAAGCCUGUGAAGGUGUGCUGUGAGGCAUGCUGGAGGUAUCAGAAGUGCGAAUGCUGACAUAAGUAACGAUAAAGCGGGUGAAAAGCCCGCUCGCCGGAAGACCAAGGGUUCCUGUCCAACGUUAAUCGGGGCAGGGUGAGUCGACCCCUAAGGCGAGGCCGAAAGGCGUAGUCGAUGGGAAACAGGUUAAUAUUCCUGUACUUGGUGUUACUGCGAAGGGGGGACGGAGAAGGCUAUGUUGGCCGGGCGACGGUUGUCCCGGUUUAAGCGUGUAGGCUGGUUUUCCAGGCAAAUCCGGAAAAUCAAGGCUGAGGCGUGAUGACGAGGCACUACGGUGCUGAAGCAACAAAUGCCCUGCUUCCAGGAAAAGCCUCUAAGCAUCAGGUAACAUCAAAUCGUACCCCAAACCGACACAGGUGGUCAGGUAGAGAAUACCAAGGCGCUUGAGAGAACUCGGGUGAAGGAACUAGGCAAAAUGGUGCCGUAACUUCGGGAGAAGGCACGCUGAUAUGUAGGUGAAGUCCCUCGCGGAUGGAGCUGAAAUCAGUCGAAGAUACCAGCUGGCUGCAACUGUUUAUUAAAAACACAGCACUGUGCAAACACGAAAGUGGACGUAUACGGUGUGACGCCUGCCCGGUGCCGGAAGGUUAAUUGAUGGGGUUAGCGGUAACGCGAAGCUCUUGAUCGAAGCCCCGGUAAACGGCGGCCGUAACUAUAACGGUCCUAAGGUAGCGAAAUUCCUUGUCGGGUAAGUUCCGACCUGCACGAAUGGCGUAAUGAUGGCCAGGCUGUCUCCACCCGAGACUCAGUGAAAUUGAACUCGCUGUGAAGAUGCAGUGUACCCGCGGCAAGACGGAAAGACCCCGUGAACCUUUACUAUAGCUUGACACUGAACAUUGAGCCUUGAUGUGUAGGAUAGGUGGGAGGCUUUGAAGUGUGGACGCCAGUCUGCAUGGAGCCGACCUUGAAAUACCACCCUUUAAUGUUUGAUGUUCUAACGUUGACCCGUAAUCCGGGUUGCGGACAGUGUCUGGUGGGUAGUUUGACUGGGGCGGUCUCCUCCUAAAGAGUAACGGAGGAGCACGAAGGUUGGCUAAUCCUGGUCGGACAUCAGGAGGUUAGUGCAAUGGCAUAAGCCAGCUUGACUGCGAGCGUGACGGCGCGAGCAGGUGCGAAAGCAGGUCAUAGUGAUCCGGUGGUUCUGAAUGGAAGGGCCAUCGCUCAACGGAUAAAAGGUACUCCGGGGAUAACAGGCUGAUACCGCCCAAGAGUUCAUAUCGACGGCGGUGUUUGGCACCUCGAUGUCGGCUCAUCACAUCCUGGGGCUGAAGUAGGUCCCAAGGGUAUGGCUGUUCGCCAUUUAAAGUGGUACGCGAGCUGGGUUUAGAACGUCGUGAGACAGUUCGGUCCCUAUCUGCCGUGGGCGCUGGAGAACUGAGGGGGGCUGCUCCUAGUACGAGAGGACCGGAGUGGACGCAUCACUGGUGUUCGGGUUGUCAUGCCAAUGGCACUGCCCGGUAGCUAAAUGCGGAAGAGAUAAGUGCUGAAAGCAUCUAAGCACGAAACUUGCC
This 1907-nucleotide ribosomal RNA is filed under the name Escherichia coli. RNAcentral's name for it is "partial 23S ribosomal RNA". It matches the Rfam family "Bacterial large subunit ribosomal RNA", at positions 911 to 2798 of the family's 2925-position model. The record is from RNAcentral. Lineage: Bacteria; Pseudomonadati; Pseudomonadota; Gammaproteobacteria; Enterobacterales; Enterobacteriaceae.